UGCAAGUCGCACGAGAAAGGGGCUUCGGCCCUGAGUAAAGUGGCGCACGGGUGAGUAACACGUGAAUCAUCUACCUUCGAGUGCGGAAUAACUGAGAGAAAUCUUAGCUAAUACCGCAUAAUACCUACGGGUCAAAGCAGCAAUGCGCUUGAAGAGGAGUUCGCGGCAGAUUAGUUAGUUGGCGGGGUAAUGGCCCACCAAGACGAUGAUCGGUAUCCGGCCUGAGAGGGCGCACGGACACGCUGGAACUGAAACACGGUCCAGACUCCUACGGGAGGCAGCAGUGGGGAAUUUUGCGCAAUGGGGGAAACCCUGACGCAGCAACGCCGCGUGGAGGAUGAAAUCCCUUGGGAUGUAAACUCCUUUCGAUGGGGAAGAUAAUGACGGUACCCAUAGAAGAAGCCCCGGCUAACUUCGUGCCAGCAGCCGCGGUAAUACGAGGGGGGCAAGCGUUGUUCGGAAUUAUUGGGCGUAAAGGGUGCGUAGGCGGUUUGACAAGUCUUAUGUGAAAUCUAUGGGCUCAACCCAUAGUCUGCAUGGGAAACUGUCGGGCUUGAGUAUUGGAGAGGUGAGUGGAAUUUCCGGUGUAGCGGUGAAAUGCGUAGAUAUCGGAAGGAACACCUGUGGCGAAAGCGGCUCACUGGACAAUAACUGACGCUGAUGCACGAAAG
This 671-nucleotide ribosomal RNA is filed under the name uncultured Fibrobacteres/Acidobacteria group bacterium. RNAcentral's name for it is "bacterial SSU rRNA". It matches the Rfam family "Bacterial small subunit ribosomal RNA", at positions 56 to 759 of the family's 1533-position model. Lineage: Bacteria; Pseudomonadati. The record is from RNAcentral.